AUGGAGGAGAAUCUGAGCAGCCCGCCGCGUGCCGGAAGACGGCCCUACGGGUUUGUAAACGGCUUUUAAUUGGGAAGAAGGUACGGGGUUUGCCCUGUAUUGACGGUACCGGUUGAAUAAGCACCGGCUAACUCCGUGCCAGCAGCCGCGGUAAUACGA
RNAcentral lists this ribosomal RNA (159 nucleotides) under uncultured bacterium. RNAcentral describes it as "partial 16S ribosomal RNA". It matches the Rfam family "Bacterial small subunit ribosomal RNA", at positions 371 to 528 of the family's 1533-position model. The record is from RNAcentral.